This 9161-nucleotide long non-coding RNA is filed under the name Equus caballus (horse). RNAcentral describes it as "lncRNA (ENSECAG00000040127.3)". Lineage: Eukaryota; Metazoa; Chordata; Mammalia; Perissodactyla; Equidae. The record is from RNAcentral.
AAAAAAACUUAAGAAAAAAGAAAUGGAAAAUCUGAAUAGUUUUUAUCUAUUAAAGAAAUUAAAUUCGUAAUAAAAAAAAACCUUUCUACUAAGAAAACUCCAGGCCCAGAUAGCUUCACAGGUGAAUUCCAUGAAACAUUCAACAAAGAAAUGAUACUAACCUAACACUAACUCUUUCAGAAAAUGGAGGAAGAAACAUUCCCAAUGUGUUUUAUGAGACCAACAUAACUUUGAUACUAAAAUCUGACAAAAAUAUUAUAAAAGAGGAAACUGAAGACCAAUAUCCCUCUGAAAAUAGACAAACGGGAAAAAUUCUCAACAAAAUAUAACGAUAUUGAAAGCAGAAAUUUAUAAAAAGUAUUGUACAUUAUGACCAAUGGAGAUUUAUUUCAGGAAUACAAGCUUAGGUUAACAUUUAGAAAUUAAUCAUUAUAAUUCAUUAUAUUAAAAGAACAAAGGAGAAAAAACAAAUUAUCAUUUCCAUAAAUGUGGCAAAAGCAUUUGACAAAAAUUCAACAUGCAUUUUUAAUCAAAAUUCUUGGGAAACUAGGAAUAGAAGGGAACUUUCUCAACCUGAUACAGGGCAUCUGUGAAAAAACUACAGCUACAUCAUAUGUGAUCGUUAAAGACUGAAUACUUUUCCUCUAAGAUCAGCAACAAGACAAGAAUGUCCAUUUUCACCACUGCCAUUUAACAUUGUACUCGAAGCCAGUGAGAUAAAGCAAGAAAAAGAAAUUAAAGGCAUAUAAAUUAGAAAGAAAGAAAUGAACUAUCAUUAUUUGCAGGCAACAAGAUCUUGUAUGUAGAAAAUCCUGAAGAACCUAUGGAAAAAAAUACUAGAAUUAAUAAAUGAAUCUAGCAACAUCAGAGGGUACAAGGUCAACACAAAAUCGAUUGAUCAGAAGCUUGGUUUGGGACAGGUUAAGUUUGAGAUGCCAAGUUGGCAUUUGAAUUUAAAAUCUAGGGUUCAAGGAAGAGGCCUGUCAUGGAGAUAUAAAUGUAGAAAUAGGUUUUAUAAGAUAUUUAAAACAUCUGGAUGAAUGAAAUCCCUAAGAAAUAAGGGUAAAGGGGGAAGAAAAGAGAUCCAAGGACUUAGGGUACUUUCCUAAAGAACCUCUUCUAAGUUGGGCACAGUUGCUCCUCCCUUGAAUCCUGAUUUUGAGGUGAGGGGCUUCUGCCUCAGGUGGACAUUCAACAGAAAAUAGUACUUCCUCCCAGGGACUCUCAUUUGAACAAUGAUAGGCUCCCCAUAGGUGAUGAAACUCUGUUGCCCACACAGUAGGUUUUUAUUAGUACUAACUGACUUUCUAGUUGGUAUUUGUGAUGACCUCGUUGACAAGCCCAGGGUCACUCAGAGGCUUGUGGCCAGAGUGCAUCAGUCCUUUCUGGCCUGGGAGAGGGGUCAGUUGAACCAUUAAAAGUAUGAAUCUUCUUUACAUUGAUUGCCCAAGAGGAGGCAUUUCUGCGAUAAGUAAUAGGGCUGUUUCUUCCUUUGGGUUUUUGUGCUUUGGCGUCUCAUUUAGUCCACGUGCAGUGCUUGGCUCUGUAGAGACAGGAAUACUGCAACGCAUCAUCGCGCUGCCAGCCUCGGAGCUCUUGUGUUGAUGGCUUGCUUCUGUUCCACCCCAGAUCUGGGAAGAUGAAAACUUUGGGCAUUUCAUAUGGCCUUGGGCUAUUGACAAUUGUGGAAUAUGGAGCCAGAUGGAUUUACAUUUUUUUUCUGAAGACAAAACAUAGCUUGCCUCUCUAAGAUCUUAUCUACUUAAUGAGCAGAGGCAGUAUAAUUAAGGCCUUUCUCCAGAGCUGUGGAUGUGCCAAAUUUACUGGAAAGUUUGUUUAGUUUUCAUAAAUCAAAUUGAUUUGGACCUUCACAUACUUGGGGGCCAGUCCUGACAUCCAUUAAUGGAGGCUGUUACAGUGGCUUUUGUUUUUUCUUCUUAUGGAGAAGUUGCCUUUGUUUAGAGGGAAGCUUCUUGGAUGGUGCUGCUGAGUAUGGCCAGAUGGCCACUCUCAAAACAAAGGCAUGGGAUGAAGGAGUGUUGCUUUUAAGUGGGAGGUGUGAGAGGUAGCGGGGCUCUGGGAAUGAGCGCUUUGGCAUGGAGCAAGUUCUCCUGAUCUGGGAUAACACAGGAGUGCCCAGUGUUAGGCAGCCCCUGACCAGCCACUUGGCUCCACUAGCUGUAAGAGGUCUUUAUAAUGGUUUUCCAAAGAACCUGGUAGAAUUAGAUGUAUUUGCAAUAUGCAUUCUAAACAAGCUGUUUGGAAUAAAUAUGCUGGCUACUAUGUUUUCUUGGCUCUUAUUCAUUGGUUAAUAAUGUGUUAUUUUUUUGGAAACAGCUCUUUCUCUGUUGGCUUGGAAGACGAACCCAAGAGAAAUAUUGUGUUGGAUUCUGUGCUAAUCUUUCAAAACAACACAUGUGCAAGAGUAGUUUGGCCAAACCUGGCUACAGUCUCAUAGAAACCCAUAGCGAGUGGAUCUGGACAGAGGGGGACUGAGGAUGGGAUGAAAACUCUGUUGGCAGAUCCUGAAGUUUCAAAUGUGGCAUCCGAUGGGCACUUUCUCAAGAGUAGAGAGAAAAGAGUAGGGGGCCCAGAUGGCACCCACGGAAUGAAGCACAUCACAACCUCUGCAAUGGCACUGAGAGACUAUCUUAGAUACAGGCUCCAAGGGAGGGGACCCAGAUCAGAGGAAGCUAGAGGGGACAGCACAGCAAGUCCUGCACCCACAACACACAGGCAGGGCAGCAGACAGACAACAGUCUGGUGGUGCGCUGAGCAGACUCAUCUCCCGUCAUGUGAAUGCUGUCCUGUCACCCGGCCUGCAGCACAUACUUGCUGGACAUGACUUAUUGUUCUGAAGCAGGUUCUUUUUACAGCCACAGCUGCUCAAUUAUGUUUCUGCAUUGUUUCCCGAUGGGCAGUGGGGAAAAGCCGAGAACAGCUGCAGCCUCCAUGAGAAUGAAGCCCAGUUCCUUGUGCAUUUGUGGCCCUGCCCACUGAGGGGCUAAACACAGAGGCCCUUGAAGAGGUGACCAAGCUGAGUUUCUAGUCCCUUCUUUGGUGACCACCUAAGAAUAUCAUUCAGCUACUCCUACAUGAAAAACCUGCAAGCUGGGGGUGGGGCCAGGACGAGAAUGGAGUCUUCCUGGCUAUGGAAGGCAGAGAGUGAAACUGGAGAGACCCUUCAGGGCCAAGGUGGGGCCGAGGGGGGCCGAGGUGGCCCUGUUACUGCAGAGGAGGUGGCCUCCCAUCAUCACCUGUCUCCUAUGGGCCUCUCUCCUGCAGUGCUGAUCAAGAGCUGACUUGCCCUCUGUCCCCACUCAGCACUGUUCAGAGACGUCAGAACAGACAUGGUCUCAGCCUUCAAAGGGUUAACUCUCCCAAAGGAAAAGUCCAGUCCUAUUCGACCAACAUUUAUGGAGCAUCUGCCCCUGCCAGAAACCAUGUUCUUUCUGUGGGUGCCAUCCAGUUCUUGGCCUUGGGAAGCUUCCAGGCUAGUGAGCCAGUAACCCCAUUUACUCACACGAGUUCUCAGAGCAGCCACCAACAUUUGCUGGACUAACAUGUGCCAGGCAGCAUCUCCUGCAUAGUCACAUUUAAGCCUCCCAGCAGUUCUAUGUGUUUGGCACUAUGAUUAUCACCCUGUUUUAUAGACGGGGAAACUGAGGCUUAGAGAAUUAGGUAACUUGCCUAAGGCCACCCACCAGUCAAUGGAAGAAUCCACACUCUUUACCAGAGCCAGAGGACCGAGAAAAGACAUAUUCUAAUCUAGCUCUUGUGAUAAGCAGUUGAUAGUACAUAUAAAAGUGUGCCAUGGAGGGCCAAGGUGGCUGCUCUGGUACAGAGAUUAAGGAAGGCUCUUCAGAGACCACACAUGAGACAGAUUUGGGAAGACAAAUGGAAUUUCAACAAGUGUAGAUGGGGAGAAAAAUUCCCAAGCAGAGGACCAGCCUUAGCAAAGUUGGCACAGUGUCAAGGCUAAGCAUGGCGUGAUCAGGAGAAGAAGUCUGAUGUGGCUGGAACCUGGCCUUUGUGAGAGAAGGUGGUGGAAGAUGACAUGGACAGCUAAGAUUCUAGAGGUCUGACUUUAUGAAGCAGAUGGUGAGAGCCAUGAGGAUUUUGGGCAGUGCUGUAUCUGAUUCAGGUGCAGAUUUGGGGUUGAUAGACAUAUCUGAUGAACUCCAGGUGCACAGGUGGCUGGCCUUCCUGGGGCAGUGCCAGCUGCUAACAUUCAUGAAAAAGUCAGUAUUUGUUCUGCGUGUCUCCAUAGCUGCUACCAUGCUGGAGACUUUAUAUUCAUUAUUUCUAGUCUUUACCACGGCCCUGCAAAGCAGAUGAGGAAACUGAAGCUCAGAGAGGUUAAGUCAUCUCCUCAAGGCCACCUAGCUAAUGCGUGAUGGAGCUACAAGUCAGACCCAGGUCUGUGUAAUUCCAAAGCUAUGCUCUUUGCACAACACAUGGGCCAUUUCCCAGUAGAUCAGAAUGUGAAAUGACCAUUUUCCUGUUCAUCCUCACUCCUGGGAGGCCACCUUCCCAGGUGUGAGUUGACGAUGAGGCUGUCACCUAGCACUGACUUCAACUGCAGGGAGGUACCUUCCACCAGAGUCUUCCGUUGCCAUCACCGAAGACAGAAAGGGCUGGGAAUACACACAGAGGGAGGCACUCGCUCACCAGAGCGCAGUCUCUGAAGAAUAACUUGUAUUUGGAGGCAAGAGGGGUGAGCUUCCUGUCUCCUGCUCCGUCUAUCAUCCUUCUGCAACAGCCACAGCCUCUGCAAGGCCGCCUCUGCACUGCUCAGGUGCACAACAGUUUGGAGUGGAACCAACUCUGGGCCAAUUAAAUGGCGGACGGGAGCCUUGAUAGAAUUCCGCAGGUUGCAGUGAACACUCUCUAGGACAGAUGCCUGAAGGUGGAAUUGCCAGAGCAAAGGCUCAUGAAAUGGGGUUCCUAGUGGCCCCCUGGCUACCAGCUCAGCUCACCACUGAGGAGGCACCACCAAGAACGUUGCCAGAGGAGGUAUCCAAGGAAGGCAGGGCUGGGACUCAAUCCAAAUGACAAAUGCCACGACAGACUCAUCAUUCUGACCACCUUGGUGUUGUUAUUGACCCAGCGUGUCAUGCAUGAUGCUCUCCAAGAAGGCCCCUGGUGGCCUGCCCACAGCUCACCAGACAUGCCUGAACAUGUGUGAGUCCCAGUGGAUCAGAUCCAUCUUCCAGUCCAGCCUCCAAGACUUCUGAGCUUUCAUUAGACCUCUCUGCUCCAUAUGCUGGAAGCUUUAUGGCCCAUCACCUGCACCCUGAGCUUUAGCUGGUCUCAUGGGUUCUGAAACUUAGCCCACACCUUUUCAUCUCAGAGCCUCAGUGCCCUUGUCUCCACAUGUCGGCAUCCUAUGCGUCGUCAGCUCUGUAUCCUCCCGAAAGCAUUGUUUGGCAUCUAGCACACACAGUAAGUGCCAAAUAAACAUCUUAGAAUGAACAAUGGAGGGCCGUGAAAAGCCCUGUCGUUUUAAAGUUCUGUCCAGUUGGCAAAGCACAUUCAUUGUCAUUUUUGAAACAGUAAUGUCCUCAGGGCCAUCCAGGAGGGGGAAGUCCUGUUCCUGGCUUCCCUCACUCUACAAACAUUUCAUCACCUCCUCCUUUGUCCUAACAUGAUGCCAGGCACCAGAGGCAGAGAGACAAGUCAAACCUGGUCCCUCCCCUCCAGGAGCUCACGAUCUAAAAUUAAGAUAAAGAAAGUGGACACAAUUCAAUGUGGCAAGUGCCCUGCUGAGGCCUGUCCCCCAUGCCAAGGAGACUAGAGAAGAGCGUGGCUCCCCUACACUUCAUAACCUAAGACAAAGCCUAGUUAGCCUCUGGCUAUAUGCAGCUGUCAGUGAUGGGAGUCCCUAAGCAGCCAUCUGGUGCUAUUUGGCAUCCUGGUAGAAGAUUAUUUCAGUCACUUGGCAAUCAUUUAUUGAGCACCUACUAUGGGCCUGGCAGAGAGGAACGCGGACAUGGAUAAACACACAUGUCAUCCUGGAGGCACUUGCUGUACAAGUACAUUUUCUCAUGUAUAAAGAGUGAAAUCACGACCCAGGAGAUCACUAACAGCUGCCGCGUCCACCGCACAGGCUCACAGAGCAGCAACAAGGGCUGAAGAAGUCAACAAGGCAGGAAGUGCUUCAGGGCUCUGUUCCCUGAGCCUGACACACGGGGCAAUUGGCAUGCCUCUCUUGCUUUCACCCAGGAAUAGGUAAUGUGAAGAUUAAACAGAGCAAUUUAAUCCAACAGGAGGGCAGCAGCCUAUGGAGGAAGCAGAACUUAUUUAGAAGAAAGAAGUUUCCAAAAAAUCGAGAACAGUAUCAGAGGCUUUUAACAAACACAACUGGAUUUCAUAUUUAUUCUGCUUUCAUAAUAGGAUUUGACCUAUUCUGAAAUGAACUAUUUUUUUAAAUUAUCCGCCAGAUCUCACAACAGAAGGCAUUAGGUUUUUUUCUCCCUCAAAUCAACAUUUUAAUUUUAGAGACACAGUUAAAAGAAAAUCACUGAGACUAAGGUAUCUAGCAUUUCGAGAUGAAACAGUGAAACUUUAAAAUGGGGAAGUUCACCAGGCCAGCCCCCCAUCCCUGGUUUGGCCAAUUUGUAGGAAGUGACCUUCUCAGAAGGAUUGGAAGUCUGAGCAAAGCCAACCACUAGCUUCCAAAUUGAUUUUCAAACCAAAAUUGGAACAGUUCUCAAAUGCUCCUGGGAUUUGGGACUAUUAAUACCGAAGAACAAUAAGAAGGAAAAAGUGAGUGUGUAAGAGGUGAUUUAUGACCCAGAGGAAGUUGCAAGCUCGGAAACUUGUAUGCAACCCAAUCACAGACCCCUCUGGAGAGGUUCCAGGGAAGAGAUGGAGAAUGUAAAGGGAGAGCAUUUCCGAGGGAUAUUAAAGCUUAUAAAAGGAGGUAGUGUGGGCUUUGGGCCUGAAAUGAGCGAGCGAGGAGCUGACCAUGUUGAACUUCUCAUAACCACAGCAGGUUUCUGUGCAGCUGUCAUCGGCGCCUGAGACACCCCACGAGCCUUUCCUUGUAUUUAUUUCUUACUAUUAGUUCAUCACCGAGCAGGUUAAAUGGCAGGAAGAGUCUCCCCAUCAGAGUGUGGGACUGUGACUGCUGCUGCCUAAACCUGUGGUCUGUCUCGGGUGUCACGUUCUCGGGUGUCAAGGCUGUGGCUCCAGCUGCUAACCCGUAAGACCAGCCAUGGCCAAGGUGCAGUGGCGGUGCACAGGACAGCGAGGUCGGGCCCCCAGAGCCCGCCCAGGUGUUCGGGGAUUGGACACCUAACCUCGCCUUGGUUUUCAUAGUUCGUGUGAAAGUUAUUUAUUAUUAUUUAUAGCUUUAUUGAGGUAGACUUGAUAUACAAUAAAUUACACAUAUUUAAAGUGUGCUGCUUGCACACGUUAUACAUGUGUAUGUCUACAGACAUGUGCAUAUACAUAUGUGUCUUUACUUGAAGGACUAGAGAAUCAGAUAAUCCAUACAAUGUUUUGGCUGUGUGCAGGGCAUUCCUGUGGGAUGUCCACCAAUCACAUUUCUUGGGAGUAACAAAAACAAGAGGAGGAAAGUCUGCUGAGAUGGGCUUCCAGCUAUCAAUCCUUGAGAGACAAGAGGUGGGACCAAUUGCAAAUAGACCCAAAUUCCCCAAAUGGCCAGGAAAAUGUCUCUUUCUAAAAAUGAGUAGCAGGUAAUAAUCCAGUCUAGGAAGUCAAAACAAUACCUUGCACUCGUGCAGUUUUUUUAUAGUUUUAAAAAUGUUACACUACCAGGAUUUCACUGUGGAGGUACAAUAUAUCUGAGUUGUUGUUAUGAUUAUUACUAGUCAUCAUUUACCAAUUCUGCUUCUUGGACAUCAUUCUAUGGCUAAAUGGGAGAGGGUAGAAGGGAUUCAUGUCACUGGAGGGCUGUGGCUGUUUCUAAGACUGGAAGUCCCACUGAGGAAGCCUCUGAAGUGUUGACCAGACGACUUUUCACUGUUAACACUACUUCCACUCACAGCAUCCACCUCAACCCUCCGCUGCCCAGACUGCGCCUCCAGAUAACGCACAUGGCUGCCAGCAGAAUGAUAAUGGAGAAAAUACUGUGUGUUUAAUCAGUAUCAUCCAAGGAAAGGGGUGGGAGGAGGGCAGGGGUGCAGAAAGGUCUGGGAAUGGGGAGAGAUCUAGUAUAUGGAGAAGAGUCAAGCCUCAUAAAGGCAUUUUAUGGUGUGGCUAGGACCAGAAUUGUUGGCAUCACGUGUUUACUGGUCCCCCAGGCUCUGCAAGAACUGGGAAGUGCCUCCACUCCCAAUCUCCCCUUUUGCCAACUGCAUUCUUGCUGACUUAGCAGUUCUUCAGAAAGUCACCUCUGCUCUCACUUGGAAUGUUUAAGUUCGAUAUUCAUAAACGGGAUGAGGAAGAAACUUCUAAAAUCAAGGGCUUGGCUCGUUGUGGAGGCAAAAGUUCUGUUUGGAGGGAGCAUCUGGAAAAGCACCCCCUCAAGUAUGUGUUGAAUCGCUGGGUGGUCGGCAGCGCCAAGGCAGGGCGAGGCCAGGCUUUCCGAUGUCUUCCCAGAAACGGCCUGGCGGGAAGGUCAGCUCCUUCCUCAUCAAACUCCUCCUGACCAGAGGGCAGAUACCACCCUGCACUUUGCGGUCCUCCACACUGAAUGGGGUGAGCACGGAGGCCCGAGGUUCUGCAGUGACUUCUGCACUUUGGAAACAACGUGGAGCGCACAAAGGCCGUGGCUCAAGCAGAGCAGUGUGCGGGCAGGAGGGCUCCUCGCUCAGGGCGGGGCGAUGAAGGGCGUGGAUGCCGGCCUGCCCAGGAGGCCUUCCUGUGCGCUGUCCUGCUGCCGCAGCAGGGGCAGAUGGAGCUGGAUUAGAUCCAGGCUGCCUGCAGCAGGGGUUAAAGACAGAAGAUUUGGAGUAGAACAUAAGGCCCAGGGAGGAAAGUGCCUCUAAAUACCUGUAAAUUUUCUUCUCUUGAAAAUGGACCUUAAUACCAGCUAAGAUCAAAUUAAAAGCUCAAACUGAAUAGGGCAUCUUAAAUUUCAAGUGUUUGUCUUUGGCACGUGUUUUUCCUUGGUUCCUUCAUUCAACAUACUUUUUAUCGUUUGUCUUAUGAACAGAAUUUUAAGAAUUUGAAAUUUUCGUAACUGUUUUUAA